UACGGAGGGGGCUAGCGUUGUUCGGAAUUACUGGGCGUAAAGCGCACGUAGGCGGACCAUCAAGUUGGGGGUGAAAUCCCGGGGCUCAACCCCGGAACUGCCUCCAAAACUGCUGGUCUGGAGGUCGAGAGAGGUGAGUGGAAUUCCUAGUGUAGAGGUGAAAUUCGUAGAUAUUAGGAAGAACACCAGUGGCGAAGGCGGCUCACUGGCCCGGUACUGACGCUCAUGUGCGAAAGCGUGGGGAGCAAACAGG
RNAcentral lists this ribosomal RNA (253 nucleotides) under uncultured bacterium. RNAcentral describes it as "partial 16S ribosomal RNA". It matches the Rfam family "Bacterial small subunit ribosomal RNA", at positions 524 to 776 of the family's 1533-position model. The record is from RNAcentral.